This 260-nucleotide ribosomal RNA is filed under the name uncultured Planctomycetota bacterium. RNAcentral's name for it is "uncultured planctomycete partial 16S ribosomal RNA". It matches the Rfam family "Bacterial small subunit ribosomal RNA", at positions 927 to 1181 of the family's 1533-position model. The record is from RNAcentral. Lineage: Bacteria; Pseudomonadati; Planctomycetota.
AAGCGGUGGAGCAUGUGGCUUAAUUCGAGGCUACGCGCAAAACCUUAUCCCGGGCUUGACAUGCAGGGAUUAGCCGGCGGAAACGUCGGUGAGGCCGCAAGGUACAACCUGCACAGGUGCUGCAUGGCUGUCGUCAGCUCGUGCCGUGAGGUGUUGGGUUAAGUCCCGUAACGAGCGAAACCCCUGUGGCCAGUUGCCAGCGCGUCAUGGCGGGCACUCUGGUCAGACCGCCGGCGUCAAGCCGGAGGAAGGCGGGGAUG